This 652-nucleotide ribosomal RNA is filed under the name Lactifluus umbonatus. RNAcentral's name for it is "eukaryotic LSU rRNA". The stretch from base 232 to 385 matches the Rfam family "5.8S ribosomal RNA". Lineage: Eukaryota; Fungi; Basidiomycota; Agaricomycetes; Russulales; Russulaceae. The record is from RNAcentral.
GCGGAGGAUCAUUAUCGUAACAUUGAGGUGUUCUUGGCUGUCGCUGACUCUACUGGGUCGUGCACGCCUUGGGCAUUCUCAUCUACACAUCCAUCUCACCCCUUUGUGCAUCACCGCGUGGAUCCCCAUCCCUCCCUCUUUCAGGGGGGCUGGCCCACGCUUUUUUUUUAACACAAACAUUGUCAUUCUUGAAUGUCUUUUUUUUUUUGCAUUUUUUUUUGCAAUCAAUACAACUUUCAACAACGGAUCUCUUGGCUCUCGCAUCGAUGAAAAACGCAGCGAAAUGCGAUACGUAAUGGGAAUUGCAAAAUUCAGGGAAUCAUCGAAUCUUUGAACGCCCCUUGCACCCCUUGGAAUUCCAAGGGGUACCCCCGUUUGAGUGUCGGGAAAUUCUCACCCUCUCCAGUUUUCUUGGAAAGGCUUGGACAUUGGAGGCUUUUUAUUGCUGGCCUCUUCGGAGGUCGGCUCCUCUUAAAUGAAUUAGGGGGCUUCUCUCUGCCAUCCCCACUCGACGUGAUAAAAUUUCUCUACGUCCGAGGCCUGGCAUCGUGGGACCCGCUUCUAACCGUCUCUCCUCGAGACACCAUUUUGAACCCCUUGACCUCAAAUCGGGUGAGACUACCCGCUGAACUUAAGCAUAUCAAUAAGCGGA